Centruroides sculpturatus (bark scorpion) is the source of this 348-nucleotide long non-coding RNA. RefSeq lists it as uncharacterized. Lineage: Eukaryota; Metazoa; Arthropoda; Arachnida; Scorpiones; Buthidae. The record is from RefSeq and is a predicted model, not a curated record. The transcript is spliced from 2 exons.
AUAGUUUGCAAAGAAAUAAUUUCAGUAAUUUCUGUAGUCAAUUGGAAAUGCCAAGACCACAAGAAAUGAUAAUAGCUCAAGAUUUGGGAAGUACAUAGAAAUCGAUUUCAAUACUAAAUACAAUAUUGUUGGAGCAAAUAUGAGAACAUAUCUACUGGAGAAAUCUCGUGUUGUUUUUCAAGCUGCAGAUGAAAGAAAUUAUCAUAUAUUUUAUCAGCUUUGUGCUGCAUCAGAUUUAGAGGAACUUCGCAUUCUGAAAUUAGAUAAUUGUGAAAAAUUUCAUUACACUAAUCAAGGAGAGUCUCCUACGAUACCUAGUGUUAAUGAUGCUGCUUGCUUUCAAGAAAC